UAGAUAUCACGAAGAACUCCGAUCGCGAAGGCAGCUGCCCGGUGGCCGACUGACGCUGAGGCUCGAAGGUGCGGGUAUCAAACAGGAUUAGAUACCCUGGUAGUCCGCACGGUAAACGUUGGAUACUCGCGGUUGGUUUUUAUUGAGUCAGCCGCCAAGCGAAAGUGUUAAGUAUCCCACCUGGGGAGUACGCCGGCAACGGUGAAGCUCAAAGGAAUUGACGGGGGCCCGCACAAGCGGAGGAACAUGUGGUUUAAUUCGAUGAUACGCGAGGAACCUUACCCGGGUUUGAAUUCGGCAGGAAGUCUCCGGAGACGGGGAUGUCCCUUCGGGGUCUGCCGGAAGGUGCUGCAUGGUUGUCGUCAGCUCGUGCCGUGAGGUGUCGGCUUAAGUGCCAUAACGAGCGCAACCCUCGCCUACGGCUGCCAUCGGGUGAUGCCGGGCACUCCGUGGGGACUGCCCCCGCAAGGGGCGAGGAAGGGGGGGAUGACGUCAAAUCAGCACGGCCCUUACGUCCGGGGCUACACACGUGUUACAAUGGGUGUACAGCGGGCAGCGCGGCGGCGACGCCAAGCGAAUCCCGAAAGCCACCCCCAGUUCGGACUGGAGUCUGCAACCCGACUCCACGAAGCCGGAUUCGCUAGUAAUCGCGCAUCAGCCAUGGCGCGGUGAAUACGUUCCCGGGCCUUGUACACACCGCCCGUCAAGCCAUGAAAGCCGGGGGUGNNNNAAAGCCGUGACCGCGAGGGUCGGCCUAGGGUAAGACCGGUGAUUGGGGCUAAGUGGUAACAAGGUAACCA
RNAcentral lists this ribosomal RNA (800 nucleotides) under uncultured bacterium. Its description in RNAcentral is "bacterial SSU rRNA". It matches the Rfam family "Bacterial small subunit ribosomal RNA", at positions 691 to 1502 of the family's 1533-position model. The record is from RNAcentral.